GGAGGGUUGUGUGGCUAUGGUACUCACAAGUCUCCUCAGAUCUUCCUCCGUUAAACGAGAAAUUCUUUCCUGAAAAAGUGUAAACAAUUCAUAAAGAUUGUAUUUACAAGUGUUCUAACAAUUUGAUAUUUUGAUAGAACAAAGGAAUCCAUGAUAUCUCGGCCUAUAACAAAAUCGGACUAUAACAAACUCGGCCUAUAACAUAAUCGGCCUCACAAAAUCGGACUUUAACAAACUCGGAC
This 242-nucleotide long non-coding RNA is filed under the name Mytilus galloprovincialis (Mediterranean mussel). The record is from RNAcentral. Lineage: Eukaryota; Metazoa; Mollusca; Bivalvia; Mytilida; Mytilidae.